AUUUAUAUAAUUUAUAUAAGAAUAUUGCAUUGAAGCUGCAAAAGAAACAUAGCUUUGUUUAUAAAUA
RNAcentral lists this transfer RNA (67 nucleotides) under Neoepisesarma lafondi. RNAcentral's name for it is "tRNA-Phe". Lineage: Eukaryota; Metazoa; Arthropoda; Malacostraca; Decapoda; Sesarmidae. The record is from RNAcentral.